UGACCUCGGAUCAGGUAGGAAUACCCGCUGAACUUAAGCAUAUCANNNNNNNNNNNNNNNNNNNNNNNNNNNNAUUGCCCCAGUAGCGGCGAGCGAAGCGGCAACAGCUCAAAUUUGAAAUCUGGCCUCGUGCCCGAGUUGUAAUUUGGAGAGGAUGCUUUUGGCGCGGCGCCUUCUGAGUUCCCUGGAAUGGGACGCCACAGAGGGUGAGAGCCCCGUAUAGUUGGACGCCUAGCCUCUGUAAAGCUCCCUCGAAGAGUCGAGUAGUUUGGGAAUGCUGCUCAAAACGGGAGGUAAAUCCCUCCUAAAGCUAAAUACCUGCCAGAGACCGAUAGCGCACAAGUAGAGUGAUCGAAAGAUGAAAAGCACUUUGAAAAGAGGGUUAAACAGCGCGUGAAAUUGUUGAAAGGGAAGCGCUUAUGACCAGACGUGCGCCCAGCGGAUCAUCCGGCGUUCUUCGCCGGUGCACUCCGCUGGGUUCAGGCCAGCAUCGGUCUGUCCAGGGGGAGAAGGGCGGUGGGAACGUAGCUCCCUCCGGGGAGUGUUAUAGCCCGCCGCACGAUGCCUCUGGGCGGACCGAGGUUCGCGCUCUGCAAGGAUGCUGGCAUAAUGGUCAUCAGCGACCCGUCUUGAAACACGGACCAAGGAGUCGACGUCUUCAGCGAGUGUUCGGGUGCUAAAGCCCGUACGCGCAAUGAAAGUGAACGCAGGUGAGAGCUUCGGCGCAUCAUCGACCGAUCCUGAUGUAUUCGGAUGGAUUUGAGUAAGAGCUGAAGGCGUCGGACCCGAAAGAUGGUGAACUAUGCCUGUAUAGGGUGAAGCCAGAGGAAACUCUGGUGGAGGCUCGCAGCGGUUCUGACGUGCAAAUCGAUCGUCAAAUAUGGGCAUGGGGGCGAAAGACUAAUCGAACCAUCUAGUAGCUGGUUACCGCCGA
Molecule: ribosomal RNA, 934 nt
Filed under: Hagnosa longicapillata
Lineage: Eukaryota; Fungi; Ascomycota; Sordariomycetes
Description: partial large subunit ribosomal RNA
Rfam family: Eukaryotic large subunit ribosomal RNA
Source: RNAcentral